AUUGAACGCUGGCGGAAUGCUUUACACAUGCAAGUCGAACGGCAGCACGGACUUCGGUCUGGUGGCGAGUGGCGAACGGGUGAGUAAUGUAUCGGAACGUGCCCAGUCGUGGGGGAUAACGUAGUGAAAAUUACGCUAAUACCGCAUACGAUCUAUGGAUGAAAGCGGGGGAUCGCAAGACCUCGAGCGAUUGGAGCGGCCGAUAGCAGAUUAGGUAGUUGGUGGGGUAAAGGCCCACCAAGCCAACGAUCUGUAGCUGGUCUGAGAGGACGACCAGCCACACUGGAACUGAGACACGGUCCAGACUCCUACGGGAGGCAGCAGUGGGGAAUCUUGGACAAUGGGCGAAAGCCUGAUCCAGCCAUUCCGCGUGCAGGAUGAAGGCCCUCGGGUUGUAAACUGCUUUUGUACAGAACGAAAAGGUUUCUACUAAUACUAGGAGCUCAUGACGGUACUGUAAGAAUAAGCACCGGCUAACUACGUGCCAGCCGCCGCCGUAA
RNAcentral lists this ribosomal RNA (500 nucleotides) under uncultured bacterium. RNAcentral describes it as "partial 16S ribosomal RNA". It matches the Rfam family "Bacterial small subunit ribosomal RNA", at positions 30 to 523 of the family's 1533-position model. The record is from RNAcentral.